GAUGCAUCUUUGACAACAAUAGCCAAACGUGGGGCUAGCACCCGUUUGCUGUGGUCUGGCCAAUGUUUUUCUUCUGUGUCAAAAAUAUUUGUUCCUAUUAACGAGUAUGGUAUUCAUUGGACAUUGCUGGUAAUUGACAAAUCUAAGAAAAUACGAUACUUCAUUGACCCCAUGAAUGGACAAAAGGAAAUAACAAUUGAUUUUCAAACACACCCGCAUCUUAUGGACCUUAUAGACAAGAUAAGUGAAAUUGCUGACAUGAAAACUGGUUGGCAUUCUCAAUUUUGGUCAUGUAUCGAGCCAUUACAUUUCUCACAGCAGGACAGCUUUAAUUGUGGUGUACUCAUUUGCCUUGUAAGUGAGCACUCCCACAGAGAUUUUACAAUCCAUUCUAUUAAUUUAUACAUUGCUCAUUUCU
Molecule: long non-coding RNA, 418 nt
Organism: Xenia sp. Carnegie-2017
Lineage: Eukaryota; Metazoa; Cnidaria; Anthozoa; Malacalcyonacea; Xeniidae
Exons: 3
Source: RefSeq, a predicted model, not a curated record